GAUGAACGCUGGCGGCGUGCCUAAUACAUGCAAGUCGAGCGAACAGAUCAGGAGCUUGCUCCUCUGACGUUAGCGGCGGACGGGUGAGUAACACGUGGAUAACCUACCUAUAAGACUGGGAUAACUUCGGGAAACCGGAGCUAAUACCGGAUAAUAUAUUGAACCGCAUGGUUCAAUAGUGAAAGACGGUUUUGCUGUCACUUAUAGAUGGUUCCGGGCCGCAUUAGCUGGUUGGUAGGGUAACGGCUUACCAAGGCAACGAUGCGUAGCCGACCUGGUAGGGGAGUGGGCACCACAGCAAUGGGACCGGGAUCCGGCCCCGAACGGGAGGCGAGGGAGGGGAGGGGACCGCAGUGGACGAAGGCGUAGCGGGGCGACGCGACGUGGGGGAGGAGGGUCUGGGCUUCGUAAACUCUGUUAUUAGGGAAGAACAAAUGUGUAAGUAACUAUGCACGUCUUGACGGUACCUAAUCAGAAAGCCACGGCUAACUACGUG
Molecule: ribosomal RNA, 496 nt
Filed under: uncultured bacterium
Lineage: Bacteria
Description: partial 16S ribosomal RNA
Rfam family: Bacterial small subunit ribosomal RNA
Source: RNAcentral